CAAUAGCGUAUAUUAAAGUUGUUGCAGUUAAAAAGCUCGUAGUUGGAUCUGUGGUGUGCGGUGGGCUCCGGGCACUUGUUGUCUGAGUAGCUCGCCGCUGCCAUCCUUGGGUGGAACCUGUGUGGCAUUAGGUUGUCGUGCAGGGGAUGCCCAUCGUUUACUGUGAAAAAAUUAGAGUGUUCAAAGCAGGCUUAUGCCGUUGAAUAUAUUAGCAUGGAACAAUGAGAUAGGACUUUUUCGCUAUUUUGUUGGUUUGCGCGAAGAGGUAAUGAUUAAUAGGGACAGUUGGGGGUAUUCGUAUUCCAUUGUCAGAGGUGAAAUUCUUGGAUUUUUGGACGACGAACUACUGCGAAAGCAUUUACCAAGGAUGUUUUCAUUAA
This 380-nucleotide ribosomal RNA is filed under the name uncultured eukaryote. RNAcentral describes it as "partial 18S ribosomal RNA". It matches the Rfam family "Eukaryotic small subunit ribosomal RNA", at positions 592 to 976 of the family's 1831-position model. The record is from RNAcentral.